This 62-nucleotide transfer RNA is filed under the name Columbicola passerinae. Its description in RNAcentral is "tRNA-Arg". The record is from RNAcentral. Lineage: Eukaryota; Metazoa; Arthropoda; Insecta; Psocodea; Philopteridae.
UUAGUGGUACAGAAAAGUAUUUUUAGAGUCGAAAUCUAACGUAUUCAUUAUACUAACCACUA